CAGCAGCCGCGGGAAUACGUAGGGUGCGAGCGUUAAUCGGAAUUACUGGGCGUAAAGCGUGCGCAGGCGGUUCGUUAAGACAGAUGUGAAAUCCCCGGGCUUAACCUGGGAACUGCAUUUGUGACUGGCGAGCUAGAGUAUGGCAGAGGGGGGUAGAAUUCCACGUGAAGCAGUGAAAUGCGUAGAGAUGUGAAGAACACCUGUGGCGAAAGCGGCUCACUGGACAAUAACUGACGCUGAUGCACGAAAGCUAAGGGAGCAAACAGGAUUAGAUACCCGUGUAGUCCCUGUCUCUUAUACA
This 301-nucleotide ribosomal RNA is filed under the name uncultured bacterium. RNAcentral's name for it is "partial 16S ribosomal RNA". It matches the Rfam family "Bacterial small subunit ribosomal RNA", at positions 509 to 808 of the family's 1533-position model. The record is from RNAcentral.